Cyprinus carpio carpio is the source of this 349-nucleotide long non-coding RNA. The record is from Ensembl. Lineage: Eukaryota; Metazoa; Chordata; Actinopteri; Cypriniformes; Cyprinidae.
AAGUCAGAAGCCUUGAUAAACCACACCUCUUUGGCAUUAGUGUGGAUUGUCAGUAUAUGUUUUUCUAAUUUGCAUUAGAUGCUGUAUGUCACUUGAUAACAAAAAAAAUCAUUAAGUAUCUCAUCAUUUGUUUUAGAAAGAUGAACAGAAGUCUUUUGUGUUUAAAACAACAUGAGGAUCGCUGCAUGCUUCAUCGUGCUAGCCUGUAAAGACCUCCCCUUUGUCAAGUAUGCCUGGGAGUUCUGUGGGCUUGCCGCAGCGACUGCAUUGGAUGACACCUCCAUCGACUCUCUGUUCUGGCAUGAGGCCAAUUAUCAUCACCCCGUGGAUCUCCCAGACACCAGAGGAC